AAGUCGUAACAAGGUUUCCGUAGGUGAACCUGCGGAAGGAUCAUUAACACGUAUCCAACGUUAAACCCCCUGUGAACCUUCAUUGUACGAGUUACAUCCACGUCAUAAACCGGCAAUCUCUGGUAAAUCAUCGCCGAACAGUUUUGAUUCAGAGACCUCUGGGAAGGGUGUACGGUAGUGCGAGGCAAUUGACCUGGCAUUCCUCUGCUUGUUAGUGUCUGAAAGUGUCACUAGCUAUGUACGGAUGGCGCUGCCGCGGCGACCAGGUCACUGGGCUACGGCCCAUGAAAACGGGCCUGCGCUGAGGUGCGGGCACCCCUAAUAAUGCUUGAACAACUGUUAACAAUGGAUAUCUUGGUUCUC
Molecule: unclassified non-coding RNA, 363 nt
Filed under: fungal sp.
Lineage: Eukaryota; Fungi
Description: partial internal transcribed spacer region
Rfam family: Eukaryotic small subunit ribosomal RNA (bases 1-46)
Source: RNAcentral